UACGAAGGUUGCAAGCGUUGUUCGGAAUCACUGGGCUUAAAGCGCAUGUAGGCGGACUGGAAAGCGUUUUGUGAAAUCCCUCGGCUUAACCGAGGAAUUGCUUGGCGAACUUCCAGUCUUGAGGCAAGUAGGGGUGCAUGGAACUCUUGGUGGAGCGGUGGAAUGCGUAGAUAUCAAGAGGAACGCCAAUGGUGAAAACAGUGCACUGGGCUUGUACUGACGCUGAGAUGCGAAAGCGUGGGGAGCAAACGGG
RNAcentral lists this ribosomal RNA (253 nucleotides) under uncultured bacterium. Its description in RNAcentral is "partial 16S ribosomal RNA". It matches the Rfam family "Bacterial small subunit ribosomal RNA", at positions 524 to 776 of the family's 1533-position model. The record is from RNAcentral.